RNAcentral lists this long non-coding RNA (3828 nucleotides) under Homo sapiens (human). Its description in RNAcentral is "HSALNT0367682". The record is from RNAcentral. Lineage: Eukaryota; Metazoa; Chordata; Mammalia; Primates; Hominidae.
AGCUAAAUUUCCUAUAGCCAAAUGUAGCUUGGUGACACAAAAUACUGUAUUUGGUUAUUUAAAAGAAGAGGGGGAGGUAAAACGUAAGAAGGCCAGAGCACCUGGGACCUUGUUUUACUAAAGCUUAUUAUGUUUCAGUGGCCCUGGUUCCCCAUGACAAAAGUACAAAGAGUACCCGCAAGAAGUAAGUUGAAGAUAAGGAGUGAGGAGAAGGAAGGUUAGUGGUAAGGCCACCAGUGAUUCUAACAGCAAAGGGACAAGAAAAAAGACUGGAACUUUAUUUAGAGGAUAAAGCUGAUGCCUGGCUUGCCAUCUUGCCCAGAUGGGACCUCAGGCAUAGGUUCCUAACUGUGAAUAUCCUGAUUUUGAAGAAAACAGUAGAUUAAUUUCAACUGCUGGCAGCUUUCACUUGACCUUGCAAAGGUUACAAUUAUCCAGAAAUCUCAUACCUAUGAGGGAAGCCAACUUCUGUGUCAUGAGGACAUUCAAGCAGCACUAUGGAGCCAUCCAUGUGGCUAGGAGCUGAAACUGAGCCAAGAAGCAGUGAGGAACUGGCUGGUAACAGCCAUGUGGGUAAAAGCCAUCUGAGAAGUGCAUGCUCUAGUCUCAGUCAAGCCUUCAGAAGACUGUGGCACCUGACAUCUCCACUGCAACCUCAUUAGAAACUCAAGACAGAACUGCCAGAGAAGCUCUUCCUGAAUUUCUGACCUACAGAAACGGUGUCAAAAAGAUAUUUAUUAUUGUUUUGAGCCCUAAGUUUUUGGAGUGACUUGUUGCUCCAAAUAUAUUAGAUAAUAUAUUAUAUAUGUAAGGUAACAUUUCAGUUUUGACAUUUUCACAUGCAUGAUCAGUUAUUUCAGCACUAUUUAAAAAUUUCUUUCUAUCUUCUGUUAUCAGCAAGAUCAGCUGUGUCAUAAAUUAAGUUUCCAAUUAUAUGUAGAUUUGAUUCUGGACUCUUUAUUCUGUUUCACAGGUCACGUUGCUUAUUCUUGAGUGAAUACUUCAUUAUUUAAUUAUUAUAUAUAUAUAUUUGAUAAGGCAUACAGUUUGCUAUAGUCUUACCUAUUUUUAAACCUUUGGUCUUUUAUAUCCUUAGAAUCACCUUGACAUUCUUUACAAGAAAAUCCAUCGGGUUUUGAGUGGAAUUACACUGAGUAUAAGUACCAGUUGGGGAAAAAUUGACAUCUUUAGUAUGUCGAAUCUUUUAAUCCAUUUGUAAUCCAUGCUGUGUUACUGUUUUUAUUUGGAGUUGUCUUUCAAAAUGUUUUACAGUUUUCUUUGCAAAGGUCACAUACAUCUUUUGUUAGUUCCAUUACUAGGUAUUUCAUUUUUAUACACAAGAAUGAAAUAUUAAUAGAUCCUUAAAGAAAAUAACAUUUAAAAUAGCAUAAGAUAUAUCAAAUUGCUCAAGUCAGAAACUGGCACAUAAUAAAUACAUCAUAAAUGUCCUAAACCAGAUGUAUGAAUGAAUAAAUAAAUGGAUGAGUGGAUGAAUAUGAGACCCAGUAUGCCUAUCUAUAACCUAUUAUUUCAGAUACCAUUCUGCUUAGGUAUUCAGUAUUCUCAAGGGAUUUUUCUCCACAAUAAGAAAACUUGAUGCUUCCAGUUCUUACCUCAGUAUGCCACUGAUAAAGUAAAACAGAUCUAAAAGAAUAGUUUCAAAGAGAUGUAAAAUGACACCUUAUGUCAACUUGUCUUUUCCUUUUUCAUGACUCCUUUUUCUUCUUUCUAACUUUUGGCAUCUGUAAUUGAGAUUUCCUUCCAAGCAUAUUUAGCUCAACUUAAAUAUACUUCAUUGAGGCUUUGGCAAACCUUUUCAAGUAUAAGGAUAAUACAGAAUUAUCUAUUUUUCUAUAGUUUGUUUUAUUGCUGCUGUUAUUGUUGUUUUAUUUUGUUUGCUAUAAAGAUUAGCCUCUUGUUCAAUGGAAAAUAUGAUCAAAAACAGUGUUCAAAAAUUAUUUAAGGGCCCCAUCACUACAGCAAUCAUUAGUCCUACUGUGUAUGAAAUUUCUAAGUAUUUCUAAAUGCUCAACCCUAGACAUGCCCUUCACUGAUAUUUUUAAUGUGCUUUCAGUACCUUGGCCAUUUAAUAACUUAUGUUCUUUUUUCAAAAUCUUAGGAAGAAAUUGUGUUUUGGAAUUGGGCCAACAGUAUGUGUUUCUCCGGUGGAUAAGCAAAAUUUCAUAAGAACAAAGAUGAUUCAAGCAGAUGUUUAUCAUGAAACUGCCAUAAAAAGCACCCGAAGUCACAAAGAUAAACAUCAAAUCCAGUCCUUGGAAAUUUCCCCCACCCUACCUGAGCAUCUUUUGAAGUAGAUAUUCAAUUAUUUUGAAGGAUUUUUAAAGAAUUUUCUAGAUUUCAUCUAAAAGACACUUUUGAAAUCUGCGUUAAAAUUCAUGGAAAUAUAUCCUAGAUGAAUUUGGAGGAAUGUAAGCAAGUAGGUACAAACCUUUAUUUUAUCCCUCAGUGACUCACUCAGUUGUGAAUAGGAAGGGCUCUCUGUGAUCUGGCCACAGCUUAUUUCUUGCCACAUUCCUAUUUUCAGUCCUCUUCCAAUCAUGUGGAACUUCCAGCAUCUCCUUACACAUGCCAUGUUAUUUCACACUUUUGUGACUUUGCUCAUAUUUUUCUCUCUCCCUGGAAAGCUCCCCGACAACCUCCACUGCCAUUACCCACUAGGCAAGUACAUCCUGUUUUCAGAAUCAGCCCAAUAUCAUCUUUCCUAGGGAAUCUUGUCAGACUGCCCUUCAUUACCAACAGACAAAAUAACUACCUUAUCUUUGGUUCUGUCUUCACUCUAGACCUAUGUAGCAUGCUACUUAUAACACUGCAUUGGUUUGUUGGCAUUUGUAUUUUCCACUGAGCAACCAUAACUUAUGUGUAGACAAAAAUUGUAUUGCUCACCUUUGGAUUACUAGGACCUAGCAGUGUUCUGAUUCAGAGUAUGUACUCAAUAAAUUCAUCUUGAAAAGUGAAUGAAUGAAUAAAUGAACGCCUGCAUCUCCAUCAUUGAUUUACUAUUUAAUCAGUGAAGUUUUUAAAUUAUAUUCCCCCAUAUCUUGAGAUUUGAUCUUGUGUUAAAUCAGUUGCACAUAUUAGACAUUACUUUGUCCUUUUCACUUCUCCUUAGCACAUAUGGGCUAUAUAAUCUUUAUAAAGGUUAAAGAAAUAUAUUGUAAUAUGUUAUAACACAAUCAAGAUACAUCUGAAACAACAUAGUGCAGGCACUAUUUCCGAUGUUCAACAUCAUGCUGGAGUAAAACUUAGAGACUCUUGGAAAAAAGAAAUACUUAAAUAAUGUCACCAGUGUAAUGUGCUACAUUGUAAUGGUGUUAUGCUUAUUACAUGUGUUAUCUAGUAAUGCACAAAAAGCCUAAUGGAUUUGCUCAUAUUUUCCUCAUGUGCAAAUGAAAACACUGAGUCUCAGAGAGAUUAAAUAAAUUGCCAAAUGUCAUGUCAAGCGAUUUUGAUCCUGGUAUUUCUAAUAUAAAAGCCCAUGUUUUAAUUUAUUAACUGUUUGACAUAUAACAAUAAUAGAUCAUUACAUGUUAAUAUAAAUAACCUAUGUAUGAAGACUAAUUAUAUUUUUACUUCUGCAUUCAAUCAACUGCAACAUGUCAUUUUGGUUGAUGUGUACAGAAAAUACUCAACAUCUCGCAGAUAUUGGGUUGGAAAACAGAGGACAUUUUUAUAUCUGUUUCAGAUAAAUGUAUAUAUUUUUCUUUGAUAGUACACCAAAAUUUGACAAGUGACUAUUUCUUAAAGGGUAGUUGCAGCAUGAAAUCCAAAAUAACAUCAAUAAACUUUUCAUUCUCUGUUACACUAAAA